RNAcentral lists this transfer RNA (69 nucleotides) under Ictidomys tridecemlineatus (thirteen-lined ground squirrel). RNAcentral describes it as "Spermophilus tridecemlineatus (thirteen-lined ground squirrel) tRNA". It matches the Rfam family "tRNA". Rfam says of the family: Transfer RNA (tRNA) molecules are approximately 80 nucleotides in length. Their secondary structure includes four short double-helical elements and three loops (D, anti-codon, and T loops). Lineage: Eukaryota; Metazoa; Chordata; Mammalia; Rodentia; Sciuridae. The record is from Rfam by way of RNAcentral.
GGGGUUUUGGCUCAGUGGUAGAGUGCUUGCCUAGGAUGCAUGAGGCACUGGGUUCGACCCUCAGCACCA